AGUGAACGCUGGCGGUAGGCCUAACACAUGCAAGUCGAACGGCAGCACAGUAAGAGCUUGCUCUUACGGGUGGCGAGUGGCGGACGGGUGAGGAAUACAUCGGAAUCUACUUUUUCGUGGGGGAUAACGUAGGGAAACUUACGCUACUACCGCAUACGACCUACGGGUGAAAGCAGGGGAUCUUCGGACCUUGCGCGAUUGAAUGAGCCGAUGUCGGAUUAGCUAGUUGGCGGGGUAAAGGCCCACCAAGGCGACGAUCCGUAGCUGGUCUGAGAGGAUGAUCAGCCACACUAGAACUGAGACAAGGUCCAGACUCCUACGGGAGGCAGCAGUGGGGAAUAUUGGACAAUGGGAGCAAGCCUGAUCCAGACAUACCGCGUGGGUGAAGAAGGCCUGCGGGUUGUAAAGCCCUUUUGUUGGGAAAGAAAAGCAGCAGGUUAAUACCCCGCUGUUCUGACGGUACCCAAAGAAUAAGCACCGGCUAACUUCGUG
RNAcentral lists this ribosomal RNA (492 nucleotides) under uncultured bacterium. RNAcentral's name for it is "partial 16S ribosomal RNA". It matches the Rfam family "Bacterial small subunit ribosomal RNA", at positions 29 to 507 of the family's 1533-position model. The record is from RNAcentral.